RNAcentral lists this long non-coding RNA (3996 nucleotides) under Brassica napus (rape). Its description in RNAcentral is "long non-coding RNA (BNAP_LNC023517)". Lineage: Eukaryota; Viridiplantae; Streptophyta; Magnoliopsida; Brassicales; Brassicaceae. The record is from RNAcentral.
UUUUGAUGACCACAGUUCUCUCAGGCACAGAGACGAUUUCUAUAUGCAGAGAGAUGGAAAUGACAGGUUGAGAGAGCGCGAGGGUAUGGAUAAAUUGAAAUUAACUCAGGAGGAUGGCUUAUCAGCACGAGGAAGAGAGAGGCAGGUACCUACUACAAGGGGUCAUAGAGGCUCAGAAGACCGAUCAUCAUCGAUGAUGAAGGAUGAUUAUAAAACUUCUGAGAAAGAGCAUCUCACAAAAGAUUCAACAAGGCAUAGUAAACAGACGAAGAGAAGGGAAUAUCAUGGUGAAGAAAGUUCUCAUCAUAGAGGACACAGAGACUUCUCUGCACGCACAGAUGAGACUGCUAACAAUGAGAAAAUGCCAAGGCAGGAGAGAACAAGUGCUAAAAGUGACAAUGUUAUUAAUUCUUUGGACGGCCAGCAGUUGCAAGACAGAAAACAUAAAGAUUCCAGACGAAAGAUUAAAGAACAACGAGAGGGUGCCGAUUCAGUGAGGAGCAAGCAAGGAGAAGAAAAUGGCAGUUCAGAAGUAACGGUAUGCUCUAUCAGCCUAUCAACUUAUUACUCUCAUCCAAGUUUUGUAAACUUAACGUAACAUGGUUAUCGUGAAUGCAUUAGACUUUACAAAGUAUUUUGUUCCUGUGAUUAACCUCACCUAAUAAUAUAUCUCAUGGGUUUGGUCACUUUUAAUAUGCCUCAACGGGUCAGUAUUGAUGCUUCUUUCAUGCCUUCCAGGGCUCAAAAGGUAAAAACGAAGCAAGAAAUCACAGGAGUGAGAUCCCACAGCAGACUAACGCCACCAAAAGACACAAGGAGGAUGCUUCAUCUGGUGAUGAGCUGCAAGAUUCAAAGAGAGGACGUACGAAAAUGGAGCGUUGGGCAAGCCACAAAGAGAGAGAUGAUGUUGUCACUGUCACGGCAUCGUCCACUUCUUCAAAACUUCAAGAGAAGGAAAAAGGCACUAACGGCCGAGUUCUCGAACCUGUCCAUGACAAGAAUCGGGAUUUAACUGAAGAGAAAAGUAGCCAUGACCUUGCAGAGACCAAAGAUAGAAGCGAGAAGGGACCUCCAGGAGAUCGGCACUUGGACACGGUUGAGAAACUCAAGAAACGUAGUGAACGGUUCAAACUUCCAAUGCCCACGGAGAAAGAUACCACAGUCGUAAAGAAAAUGGAGUCUGAGACGCUGCCCUCUGCAAAAAUUGAAGGCCCUGUGGAUUCAGAGGUGAAAGCAGAGCGGCCAGCAAGGAAAAGACGGUGGACAAGUAGCUGAGAGCCUGGCUCUCUUUGGCUGGAUCGAGGGGUAGCUUCUUAUACUUAAACGGAUGGCAUGAGAUUCUCGCAUCCCACGGAGCAGUUGUUGCCGUGGAGGAUCAAGUUCCAUGAAGAUUAAUUAGAAGAGCUUAGGAAGAGUGUGUGGGAGUGAGCUAUGUUGUGUAAGAAUAAUACGCAUAAGGAUUUUACUUUGAGAGAAUACUCUUUUGUAGUAGUUGAUGUAAACUUUUGUCAAAGAUUAUUUGGUCUUUUAGUUUUGUUCACAUACUAAGCGCCUCAAGAGAGAGCGAGGAUAUUUAUAAAGUACUCGAGGCAUUGUAUUUUACUGUAGUAAUUUUGUUACUGUUUUUUGUAAACAACCUUUUGAACACUUGACAUUUGUAUUUUCCUUUUUCCAGGUUUAUUAUGAGGAGACAGCAACAACUAUGAAAGUAGAGACUGCUUGAUGGAGAAAGGCUCGUAAAUAGAAUACGAGCUUAUUAUCACGUUUCAAAAUCUCUUACGAAAUCAAAACUUUCCUAUUACAAACAAACAAAGUUUCUUUAGAGCUUUGAUCUAUAGUAAUAAAUCACUGUUUUGCGGCAUAUAUUGUUUAAAAUGAAUAAAACGUAAAUAGCUCAAGUUUCGAAAAUGCUGAGGGCGGGCAUGUUACAACGUAUGAAGUUAUAUGGUGUGAUUAAAUUUUUAUUCAGUGGCAAAGAGGAAUCCCAUAGCCAGUAUUGCCAGCAAGGAAAGGCACAGAUUAGCAGUGGUGGCAAUAGAGCCAGAAUGACCAGGGGCAUUUGGCGUAGCUCCAGUUGCAUUGUUGGCGGCCAUGUUUGCAACAGGAGGCAGAGGAGGAUCAAUCACGUCUUUGGCGUCAAGAGGUGGGCUUGGGGCACUAGCUGGUGGCUGUGCUUCCUUGUUUGCCACGGAGAUUAGAGAGCCAGCCUCUGCAGGUAAGAUGGCAUAGGGCUGCUCUUUGUCUAAAUCUGAGCAUGGACUCCCUGCAUUUGCAUCAAAUGUUAAGCAUCAGCUUUUGUGUUGUUAAAUGAUCAACAUUAUCUUUGUUAUGUGUAUAUAUUGGUUCUUUCAUGAAUCUUGUAGAGGUUUAGAAUUUACUUAAGUAUCUGGUGGCGGUGGCAGGGAACUCCGUGAUGACUCCAUCAACACCAUUCCCUGCAAUGAAUGUGGCAAACUCUACAGUAGGAUCAGAGAAGUAGUCGAACGCUAUGGAGAUAUACUCGUUCCUUAGCACCGAGACAUAAACAGAGAUAUUCCCCUUGUGCAUUUCCUCCACUACGUUGGUCUUCCCUGCGGCAAAGCUUCCGGAGAUGGUGACGAGAGAACUUCUCAAGAUAUUGACAGCAUCUGCAUGCUUCUUGAUUUCGUCAACGGAUGCCUUGGGAGCAUCUCCUAUUUCCUUGUCGAUGCUCAAGACUCUAGUGUAGGGAGGGACAGCCUCAAAACCGGCCAGAACUGAACUGUCAUCUGACUGAAUCAAUACCCUUUGGGUUGUUUGCUUGUCGAGUGUGGAUUUGGUCAGAGCGGACUUGACUGCGUCUACGAUUCCUAAGCCUUUCUUUGAGGCUAAAUAAGCAGCAUUCUGUCAAAACAAAAAAAACAAGGCGUUAGUGGUGAUGCUUUGAGUAAGUUAAAGGAGCAUUAAUGAAAAAAGGGGCAUAUGCCUGGAUGUUGACAAGAACUCCAGUGACUGCCUUUUCUUUGCUGAACUUAAGGAAGUCAUCAAGAGUUACGAACUUCCCGGCAUUCUUGUUUGCUGGGUUUCUCGAGAUUCCCACCUUAGCUAUGAAAGGGCUCUGGAUUUGAGCUGUAGGCAGAGACAUCCCACUGUCAAAAUAAGCAUUCUACUCGACCAGCUAGCAGUAAGAAACAUCACGAUAACAGUGCACCGUAUCAGAGCAGAAAGAAUCAAGACAGAGGGAAAGAAAUGGAAAGAACUCGAGCGGCGAGCAAAGGUGGUAGGGAGUACUCAAAUCCUCAUACGGACGUUGAUUACUCAAUUGCAAGGGGCGACGAUUAUGAUAGAAGGAAAGAGCGAGAUGUUGAUGGGGGGUUCUGGCGCAGGAAAGAGGAUGACCCAUUCAGUAGAAGAGGUGGGGAUGAAGGGUUUAGAAAAAGGGAUCGUGAAGAGGAUCUGGGCUCUAAGCAGAGGGGUAAAAUGAGAGAGAGUGACAUACGCAACAAAGAUGAUCAUCAUGUUCCAUCGAGAAAGCAUUUGGACGAUGGUGGUUUAAGAAAUAGUUAUGAACUGGAUGAUCACAUCGGGAAGAGGAGGAAGGAUGAAGAAUACUUAAGAAGAAACCGCUCUGAAAAGAACGAAAUCUCAUAUGGUCAAAGAGAAUCAUCAACCAGCCGCCUGAAACGAGAACGGGGUGAUAGGUUGGACCAUCAAAAGAGAGAUGUCCAACAUAAAAGCAGAGAUGAUUUUGAUGACCACAGUUCUCUCAGGCACAGAGACGAUUUCUAUAUGCAGAGAGAUGGAAAUGACAGGUUGAGAGAGCGCGAGGGUAUGGAUAAAUUGAAAUUAACUCAGGAGGAUGGCUUAUCAGCACGAGGAAGAGAGAGGCAGGUACCUACUACAAGGGGUCAUAGAGGCUCAGAAGACCGAUCAUCAUCGAUGAUGAAGGAUGAUUAUAAAACUUCUGAGAAAGAGCAUCUCACAAAAGAUUCAACAAGGCAUAGUAAACAGACGAAGAGAAGGGAAUAUCAUGGUGAA